UCGAGAAUCUUCGGCAAUGGGCGAAAGCCUGACCGAGCGACGCCGCGUGCGCGAUGAAGGCCUUCGGGUUGUAAAGCGCUGUCAGGGGGGAACAAUCAAUGAGUGAUCCCCAGAGGAAGCACGGGCUAAGUUCGUGCCAGCAGCCGCGGUAAGACGAACCGUGCGAACGUUGUUCGGAAUCACUGGGCUUAAAGGGCGCGUAGGCGGCUUGCCAAGUCAGAGGUGAAAGCUUUCGGCUCAACCGGAAAAGUGCCUUUGAUACUGGUAAGCUAGAGGGAGGUAGGGGCAGAUGGAACUUCCGGUGGAGCGGUGAAAUGUGUUGAUAUCGGAAGGAACGCCGGUGGCGAAAGCGAUCUGCUGGACCUCUUCUGACGCUGAGGCGCGAAAGCUAGGGUAGCGAACGGGAUUAGAUACCCCCGUAGUCC
Molecule: ribosomal RNA, 425 nt
Filed under: uncultured prokaryote
Description: bacterial SSU rRNA
Rfam family: Bacterial small subunit ribosomal RNA
Source: RNAcentral